Molecule: ribosomal RNA, 252 nt
Filed under: uncultured bacterium
Lineage: Bacteria
Description: partial 16S ribosomal RNA
Rfam family: Bacterial small subunit ribosomal RNA
Source: RNAcentral
UACGUAAGGUCCGAGCGUUGUCCGGAAUCAUUGGGCGUAAAGGGUUCGCAGGCGGAAAUGCAAGUCAGAUGUAAAAGGCAGUAGCUUAACUACUGUAAGCAUUUGAAACUGCAUAUCUUGAGAAGAGUAGAGGUAAGUGGAAUUUUUAGUGUAGCGGUGAAAUGCGUAGAUAUUAAAAAGAAUACCGGUGGCGAAGGCGACUUUCUGGCCAUAAACUGACGCUGAGGUACGAAAGCGUGGGUAGCAAACAGG